GGACUACCGGGGUAUCUAAUCCUGUUUGCUCCCCAUGCUUUCGAGUCUCAGCGUCAGUUGUCAGCCAGAUAGGCGCCUUCGCCACUGGUGUUCCACCCGAUCUCUACGAAUUUCACCUCUACACCGGGUAUUCCCCUAUCCUCUCCGACACUCAAGCUCGCUAGUUUCCUCUGCACGUUACAGGCUAAGCCCGUAGAUUUCACAGAAGACUUAACAAGCCGCCUACACUCCCUUUACGCCCAAUAAUUCCGAACAACGCUUGCACCCUCUGUAUUACCGCGGCUGCUGGCAC
This 292-nucleotide ribosomal RNA is filed under the name uncultured bacterium. RNAcentral's name for it is "partial 16S ribosomal RNA". The record is from RNAcentral.